GAGAAUAGCCAGAAGCAACAAAAACUGCUAAUUUUUGUCCCCAUGGUUAAAACCCAUGGUUUUCUCG
RNAcentral lists this transfer RNA (67 nucleotides) under Phractolaemus ansorgii (hingemouth). RNAcentral describes it as "tRNA-Ser (AGY)". The record is from RNAcentral. Lineage: Eukaryota; Metazoa; Chordata; Actinopteri; Gonorynchiformes; Kneriidae.